CGGGAAAAGCUCAAAUUUAAAAUCUGGUAGUCUUUGGCUGCCCGAGUUGUAAUCUAGAGAAGCGUUAUCCGUGCUGGACCGUGUAUAAGUCUUCUGGAAUGGAGCGUCAUAGAGGGUGAGAAUCCCGUCUUUGACACGGACUACCAGUGCUUUGUGAUGCGCUCUCAAA
RNAcentral lists this ribosomal RNA (169 nucleotides) under Clitopilus sp. Its description in RNAcentral is "partial large subunit ribosomal RNA". It matches the Rfam family "Eukaryotic large subunit ribosomal RNA", at positions 99 to 261 of the family's 3401-position model. Lineage: Eukaryota; Fungi; Basidiomycota; Agaricomycetes; Agaricales; Entolomataceae. The record is from RNAcentral.